UGAAAUCUGGCUUCGGCCCGAGUUGUAAUUUGUAGAGGAUGCUUUUGGUGAGGUGCCUUCUGAGUUCCCUGGAACGGGACGCCAGAGAGGGUGAGAGCCCCGUAUAGUCGGCCACCGAUCCUUUGUAAAGCUCCUUCGACGAGUCGAGUAGUUUGGGAAUGCUGCUCAAAAUGGGAGGUAUAUCUCUUCUAAAGCUAAAUAUAGGCCAGAGACCGAUAGCGCACAAGUAGAGUGAUCGAAAGAUGAAAAGCACUUUGAAAAGAGGGUUAAAUAGCACGUGAAAUUGUUGAAAGGGAAGCGCUUGUGACCAGACUUGUGCCGGGCUGAUCAUCCAGUGUUCUCACUGGUGCACUCGACCCGGCUCAGGCCAGCGUCGGUUUUCGUGGGGGGAUAAAAGCUUCGGGAACGUGGCACCUUCGGGUGUGUUAUAGCCCGUUGCUUAAUACCUCCGUGGAGACCGAGGU
This 464-nucleotide ribosomal RNA is filed under the name Sordariomycetes sp. genotype 7. Its description in RNAcentral is "eukaryotic LSU rRNA". It matches the Rfam family "Eukaryotic large subunit ribosomal RNA", at positions 116 to 592 of the family's 3401-position model. The record is from RNAcentral. Lineage: Eukaryota; Fungi; Ascomycota; Sordariomycetes.